This 21-nucleotide non-coding RNA is filed under the name Caenorhabditis elegans. The record is from RNAcentral. Lineage: Eukaryota; Metazoa; Nematoda; Chromadorea; Rhabditida; Rhabditidae.
UGUCAUUUCCAUAUUUCAUUC